Molecule: ribosomal RNA, 209 nt
Filed under: uncultured prokaryote
Description: partial 16S ribosomal RNA
Rfam family: Bacterial small subunit ribosomal RNA
Source: RNAcentral
UACGGGGGGGGCAAGCGUUGUUCGGAAUUACUGGGCGUAAAGGGCUCGUAGGUGGCCAACUAAGUCAGACGUGAAAUCCCUCGGCUUAACCGGGGAACUGCGUCUGAUACUGGAUGGCUUGAGGUUGGGAGAGGGAUGCGGAAUUCCUGGUGUAGCAGUGAAAUGCGUAGAGAUCAGGAGGAAUACCGAUGGCGAAGGCAGGUCCCUGG